UACGUAGGGCGCAAGCGUUGUCCGGAAUUAUUGGGCGUAAAGAGCUCGUAGGCGGUUUGUCGCGUCUGUCGUGAAAUCUCACGGCUUAACUGUGAGCGUGCGGGCGAUACGGGCAGACUUGAGUACUGCAGGGGAGACUGGAAUUCCUGGUGUAGCGGUGGAAUGCGCAGAUAUCAGGAGGAACACCGGUGGCGAAGGCGGGUCUCUGGGCAGUAACUGACGCUGAGGAGCGAAAGCGUGGGGAGCGAACAGG
Molecule: ribosomal RNA, 253 nt
Filed under: uncultured bacterium
Lineage: Bacteria
Description: partial 16S ribosomal RNA
Rfam family: Bacterial small subunit ribosomal RNA
Source: RNAcentral